Small nuclear RNA from Leptonychotes weddellii (Weddell seal), 107 nucleotides. Lineage: Eukaryota; Metazoa; Chordata; Mammalia; Carnivora; Phocidae. The record is from RefSeq and is a predicted model, not a curated record.
GUGCUCGCUUUGGCAGCACAUAUGCUUAAAUUGGAAUGAUACAGAGAAGAUUAGCAUGGUCCCUGCGUAAGGAUGACACAAAAAUUUGUGAAGUGUCCUAUACUACA